UGGGGAAUAUUGCACAAUGGAGGGAACUCUGAUGCAGCAACGCCGCGUGCGGGAUGACGGCCUUCGGGUUGUAAACCGCUUUCAGCCAUGACGAAGCUUUUGUGACGGUAGUGGUAGAAGAAGCACCGGCUAACUACGUGCCAGCAGCCGCGGUGAUACGUAGGGUGCGAGCGUUGUCCGGAAUUAUUGGGCGUAAAGAGCUUGUAGGCGGUUUGUCGCGUCGAUAGUGUAAACACGCAGCUUAACUGUGUGCCUGCUGUCGAUACGGGCUGACUAGAGGAGGGUAGGGGAGAAUGGAAUUCCCGGUGGAGCGGUGGAAUGCGCAGAUAUCGGGAGGAACACCAGUGGCGAAGGCGGUUCUCCGGACCUUUCCUGACGCUGAGAAGCGAAAGCGUGGGUAGCAAACAGG
RNAcentral lists this ribosomal RNA (409 nucleotides) under Fusobacteriota bacterium. RNAcentral's name for it is "Fusobacteria bacterium partial 16S ribosomal RNA". It matches the Rfam family "Bacterial small subunit ribosomal RNA", at positions 355 to 776 of the family's 1533-position model. The record is from RNAcentral. Lineage: Bacteria; Fusobacteriati; Fusobacteriota.